CACGUUUAUACGCGCCUGGCCUAUUUGCAAAAUCUUAGUACAGUCUAAGUGCACUAUGUAGUCAAAGCUCGCAUCUAAUCCAUUCAAAGGGGAGCAGACUUUAAAAAAAGGGGGCAUUAGAGACGUGGGGAAGCACUCCAGAUUAGGAGCGAUCCAGUCAACCAACUACUCUCUCUCCCUCACUUUCUCUGCUGCUACUCUGUCUGUCUCUACUGUCACAAUAGCUCACACGAUGUGAUCUCCAAAACUCCAAGGUCAUCUGUUCUUCACAUGUGGUGACUCUCCAACGCCGUCUCUCUCUUCCAGCGAACACAAAUCUUAGCGGGGACUGACCUCACCGCCUGUGGUCAGCCCGCCGCCCACGUCACACAUGGCCGCAGUCCAGCGACUCGGCUUUGUCCACGACCCACUCGACCCCCUUCCUGACGACGACCUGAGCUGCGGAAAGAGGCCGUGGGCCGACGGCCGUGGCGACGACGGGGACGUGGAUUAACCUCUCCUUGGCCAGUAAUGGUGGCAGCCUUGGUACACAGCCAUGGAGCAGUAGUGACGGUGGGCAGCAGGCAGCCAGUUCCUGUGCGGAGCCGCGCGAGACGCGAAGAGGCCGCGGGCGCCACCAUCAGGGAGAGAAGAGAAUAGGGAUUUGGGGAUUGGUAGGUGACCGUGGUGGGAGAGAAAGAUGGCAGCACGAGCGUGGGAGAGAAGGGACAAGGGAGAGAGAGAGAGAUCGGAGACGAGGGGAGGAAUCAGACGGCAGAGAAUAGCGCCGCUGGUUAAGUCAUGUAUGGGCACGUGCCCCACUUAGAAAUCCCGUUAAUUGUUUUGUGGAUCAGAAGUUCGCUGUCAAAAAUUCACAAAUGGUUUUAAUUUGCUAAAAUAAAUUUGUAUGGAUAUUAUGAUUAGACUUGUGAACUCAAUCUGCAAUGGCCUUC
RNAcentral lists this long non-coding RNA (932 nucleotides) under Brachypodium distachyon (stiff brome). Its description in RNAcentral is "long non-coding RNA (BDIS_LNC005903)". Lineage: Eukaryota; Viridiplantae; Streptophyta; Magnoliopsida; Poales; Poaceae. The record is from RNAcentral.